GACACAUACUUUGGAACCUCAUGUUGUACUCCAGAAAUAAGUGCCAUUUUUAUGUGUCAGGCACCUCAGGAGGGCCAAGUCCCCAGUGAAGUACUGAAUUCCUGAUAAGAUGAAACGCCAGGCCACUGAAAGGACAGAGCUGCUCGCCACCUUGUGAGGCCUCUGCCCUCAUUCUUUUUCCUUGACUCCUACAGAAGUCUGUACAGCUGGGAGGCAUCUUCCAGGACCAGAUUUUAGGACCUUCCCAUGUCCUUGGUCCCACCCCAUCUGCCAGUGGUGGGGCCCAUACGAGAAGUCAGGAAGCCUCAGUGUAUCCAGAGACUUCCAGGCUCCAAGGUCUUCCACACAGUGAGACUGAAACGCCAGGCAUCGGGAUACCCUGCCCUGCUGAGAACACAGAGACAGACACUCCUGGAGCCUGUGGAAAAGACUGCUGGGCCAUGAUCACUGUGGUUUCUGGCAAGUCAGAUUUCUUCUAAAACACAGCCCUGAAUGCACACAGGACACCCCCAACAAUGAGCCCUCAGAGGAAGCCAGCGGCCUCCCACAGCCUGGAAGACAUUCGACCGUGACACAGUGCAGCCAGAGUCCAGGGUCAGCUUGACCACUGGUAUCCCUUGUUCUUCCUGGAGACUGGAUUCAAGUCCUCUUCCCAUAGCAUUUACAUGGUCAGAGGCACUGCAAGUGAUCUAGAGAUAAUUUAAAGCAUGCAGGAGGAUAUGCACAGCUUCGAUGCAAAUCCAACAACAUUUUAUAUGAUGGACUUCAUUGUAUACUUGUUAUCCGUGAGAGGUAUCCUGAGAAUUCUGAGGGGCUGCUGCAUAUAUUGAGCACCUACUGCAUGCUAGGCUCUGAGGGUAUUUCAGGGAAUGAGAUGGAAAAAUAAGCACAGAAACAUGUGAAAUGGCACAGCAGUUGGUGCAGUGUGGUAUGGAACAAAAGGAAGGAGGAAGGAGGGGAAGGAGUUGGCUUGGUUCUCUGGCUGAUGGGGCUGUUAGGGGGCAGAGGACACCCACUUCCAUAAUGAAUAUGUAACAUGGUAAGAUCAGAAAAUGUGUCUCCUUCUAAAGCAGAUAAUCGCUGUGCUGAAGUGCCUUCCUUUGCGUAAAAUUAUAGGUAUGGGUUUGGAGCACAGGUCAUAGGAGAGGCCCAUUAGCAGCUCUCUGCUCCCAAUUUCAACUGCCACUGUGAAGGGAGACUUUGACUAAAAUAAUAAUUCACUCGUGUCUCAGCCCUUCACAUCAGUGAAAUCUGUCUCACUGCUGCAUGGAGUGUGCAAAAAUUCCAGAGAAUACAGCUAUUUCUGCACUCCUAGAAGUGAGUGUUGUGGGAGGCUAGAUUAUGGCCCCAAAGAGAUCCACAUCCUAACUAUGGAAACCAGAAAAUGUGUGGCCUUAGCUGGUAAAAGGGUUUUUACAGAUACAUGGUUGCAAUAGAAAAUUACAGCAAAUGUUUAAAUAGCUUUAAAAAUUUAUUACAGUAAAAGACACAGUGCCAUUAAUUCCCCACAAAAUAUUUCCCCUGGUUUUGAACACACUUAUCCCACUGUUCUGGCCACUUUCUGA
Long non-coding RNA from Fukomys damarensis (Damara mole-rat), 1565 nucleotides. RefSeq lists it as uncharacterized. The record is from RefSeq and is a predicted model, not a curated record. Lineage: Eukaryota; Metazoa; Chordata; Mammalia; Rodentia; Bathyergidae. The transcript has 4 exons.